CUUUUAUAAAAAUACUAUUAAGCUUUCUUCUAUGAUCUCACAGAAAUUAUGAGAUAUUGUUUUCAAAAUAAAUUAUACUAAUUAAAAAAUCAUCCAUAAUUGUUUUAGUCUUGAUGAAUGGCUGGUCCUAUUGAAAGAUAGGAAGGUCAUUAAGUGGCCGCUGGUUCACAUUCGUACUGGCUUCUGCUGGAACAAGAUUACUUGAGGCCUCUUCUCCACUUACAUUUGCCAUCUUUAAGAAAUAACUGUGCCUGUAAAAACAAAUCUUUUGAACUUCAUAUCAUACCAUAUAACUGUAAAAUUCAAAAGUCAAAAUCAACUUAUAUAUACCACCGAGUAUCAGCAGUCAAUUCAGGAUUGAAAGAUAGGAAGGUCAUUAAGUGGCCGCUGGUUCACAUUCGUACUGGCUUCUGCUGGAACAAGACUACUUGAGGCCUCUUCUCCACUUACAUUUGCCAUCUUUAAGAAAUAACUGUGCCUGCAAA
RNAcentral lists this long non-coding RNA (485 nucleotides) under Lotus japonicus. RNAcentral's name for it is "long non-coding RNA (LJAP_LNC000036)". The record is from RNAcentral. Lineage: Eukaryota; Viridiplantae; Streptophyta; Magnoliopsida; Fabales; Fabaceae.